Molecule: microRNA precursor, 88 nt
Filed under: Canis lupus familiaris (dog)
Lineage: Eukaryota; Metazoa; Chordata; Mammalia; Carnivora; Canidae
Description: mir-8799 microRNA precursor family
Rfam family: mir-8799 microRNA precursor family
Source: Rfam by way of RNAcentral
CGGGGGAGGCCGGAUCCUGGGCUGUGUCCCGGCGCCCUGUGCUCUGGGGCCUGCGCUGUUCGAUUCGGCUCCUGCCCCGCAGCCCCCU